Molecule: ribosomal RNA, 1448 nt
Filed under: Candidatus Armantifilum devescovinae
Lineage: Bacteria; Pseudomonadati; Bacteroidota; Bacteroidia; Bacteroidales
Description: bacterial SSU rRNA
Rfam family: Bacterial small subunit ribosomal RNA
Source: RNAcentral
GAUGAACGCUAGCGACAGGCUUAACACAUGCAAGUCGAGGGGUAACAGGGUAGCAAUACUGCUGACGACCGGCGCACGGGUGAGUAACACGUAUGCAACCUGCCCCAUACACAGGGACAGCCUUCCGAAAGGGAGAUUAAUACCUGAUGAAACAGGGAUGCCGCAUGGCAAUAUUUGUUAAAGGUAGUAAUACGGUAUGGGAUGGGCAUGCGGAGGAUUAGAUAGUUGGUAGGGUAACGGCUUACCAAGUCAGCGAUCCAUAGGGGCACUGAGAGGUUUGUCCCCCACACUGGUACUGAGACACGGACCAGACUCCUACGGGAGGCAGCAGUGAGGAAUAUUGGUCAAUGGACGAGAGUCUGAACCAGCCAAGUCGCGUGAAGGAAGAGAGUAUUAUGUAUUGUAAACUUCUUUUGCAGGGGGGUAAAAAGCGGGACGUGUCCCGUCUUGCAAGUACCCUGCGAAUAAGCAUCGGCUAACUCCGUGCCAGCAGCCGCGGUAAUACGGAGGAUGCGAGCGUUAUCCGGAUUUAUUGGGUUUAAAGGGUGCGUAGGUUGGUCUGCAAGUCAGCGGUGAAAUGUUCCUGCUUAACAGGGAAACUGCCGAUGAAACUGCGGGUCUUGAGUGUAAACGGGGCAGGCGGAAUUCGUAAAGUAGCGGUGAAAUGCAUAGAUAUUACGAAGAACACCGAAAGCGCAGGCAGUCUGCCAGGCUACAACUGACACUGAGGCACGAAAGUGUGGGUAUCAAACAGGAUUAGAUACCCUGGUAGUCCACACAGUAAACGAUGAUUACUCGCUGUUUGCGAUAUACGGUAAGCGGCUAAGCGAAAGCGUUAAGUAAUCCACCUGGGGAGUACGCCGGCAACGGUGAAACUCAAAGGAAUUGACGGGGGCCCGCACAAGCGGAGGAACAUGUGGUUUAAUUCGAUGAUACGCGAGGAACCUUACCCGGGUUCGAACGGCUGUCGGAUGGAUGUGAAAGCAUUCAGUCAGCAAUGAGGACAGUCGAGGUGCUGCAUGGUUGUCGUCAGCUCGUGCCGUGAGGUGUCGGCUUAAGUGCCAUAACGAGCGCAACCCCUGCCGGAAGUUGCCAACAGGUAAAGCUGGGGACUCUGCCGGGACUGCCGCCGCAAGGUGAGAGGAAGGAGGGGAUGACGUCAAAUCAGCACGGCCCUUACGUCCGGGGCUACACACGUGUUACAAUGGACGGGACAGAAGGUAGCUACUUAGCAAUAAGAUGCGGAUCCGGAAACCCGUUCCCAGUUCGGAUUGGAGUCUGCAACUCGACUCCAUGAAGGUGGAUUCGCUAGUAAUCGCGCAUCAGCCAUGGCGCGGUGAAUACGUUCCCGGGCCUUGUACACACCGCCCGUCAAGCCAUGGAAGCCGGGAGUACCUGAAGUACGCAACCGCAAGGAACGUCCUGGGGUAAGACCGGUAACUGGGGCU